GCCCGCCUCGGCCUCCCAAAGUGCUGGGAUUACAGGCGUGAGCCACCGCGCCCGGCCAGUCUGCUUCUUAUUUUUCCUGGGAAAUCAGCUCCAGGGGUCUAUCCAAUAAGACCUUCAUGUUUGCUGAACUUUUUGUUGAUCUAAAACAGACAUCAGCUGUUGGAAAGACACUGCUACUUUAAGAUGUUGGCCUGGGCAGAUAUUCCAGCAGUUUUAUUUUCCUCAGGAUUGUCAUGGGGAGAGGAGAACAAACUGUCUCAGCUACAGUGAAGCCGGGUCAUUUAGUCCUCUCAUUGCCUUAUUUUUAUAUGCAACAGCGCCCAGCUCAGGGCCUUAUGAGGCAGAAGGUGAAACUGACUCUGGAGGCGGGGACUCGGGUACCGGACCAGAUUGAGAACUAGCUAAACAGGGUCGGGCAGAGGCGGCUUUCCAUAAGACAGGGCCACCACGGCACCAUGUCAGUUUACCAUCGCCAUGGCAAUACCCGGAAGUUACCACCCCUUUCCAUGGCAAUGACCUGGAAGUUACCACCCACCUAGACAUUUCUGCAUAAACUGCCUCUUAAUUUGCAUAUAAUUAAAGGUGGGUAUAAAUAUGCCUGCAGCCCUAGCCUGGGCGCACUGCUGGUGGGUAGCCAUGGUCUGUAGGGAGCAGUAUCUCUGCUGCCGCUGUCCUUGAGUUCUUUCCUCGGUGAAGCCAGACUAAGCCCCAGUUUUGGGGUUCAUCUGCCCUGCAUCACUUACACAGUGCAGAGCAGGCUCUCAGGAAAUACGGAUUGAGUAAAUUUGGCAUUUGUUGUCAUAGUGAUUAUUUCUAUUGUAACAUCUAGGCAAAACGGCCAACCCUUGUGUCAUUUCAAAAAAGGUCAGUUUCGCCCAGCACAGUGGCUCACGCCUGUAAUCCCAGCACUCUGGGAGGCCAAGGCGGGUGGAUAAUCUGAAGUCAGGAGUUCGAGGCCAGCCUGGCCAACAUGAUGAAACCCUCGUCUCUACGAAAAAUACAAAAAUUAGCUGGGCAUGGUGGCCGGCGCCUUUAAUCCCAGCUACUCGGGAGGCUGAAGCAGAAUUACUUGAACCCAGGAAGCGGAGGUUGCACUGAGCCGAGAUCAUGCCACUGCGCUCCAGCCUGGGUGACAGAGCAAGACUCCAUCUCAAAAAAAAAAAAAAAAAAAAGGUCAGUUUAAUUUUCAUUGUCUCUAAGGUGCUUUCCACGUUUUCCUAACCUUGAUAUGAUGGAGCAGGAUCUGAGGGACUGGAGCAGUAAGUACUUUCUCACAUAGUUCCAGUGAGUCAAUGUUAACAAUAUAUUUAUAGUUUAUAGGGUUUUGAUUACUGUCUGGAAGUACAAAGGAGGAAGACAAACUAGUUUGCAAAAUAAAAUCAAUAAAAUAAAAAUAGCACCAUGUAGAAGACUUCCUCUGGAUGUCACUAGAUUUGUGCUUUAUAAAGUUCUUUCUUUGGUUGAGAGGAUAGAAGAAGAGUGUCUAAAUAUACCAGAGGAGAGCUAUGGAAACAGGAUAAGACAGGAGAAUUGACUUAAAAAACCCCACAAGUAUCUCAUUUGCAUGCGCUACCAUGGAACAUGCUUUUGUUCCAAGUAUGUAGAAUUUUCUUCUCCAUGUGGAUAUGAAUUAGAGAACAUUUUUCAGUGUCUGGGAGGCAAAUGAGGAAAGAGGGGGAAUUGGGCAUUUUUGUUUUCAUUUUGACUGAGGGACACAGAGAUGAUUGCAAAGAGUUACCAAUGGGUUUGCUCAAAUGUGAGAGCUUUUGGAUAGUGGUGUUAUUGGACUACUAUUCACUAUUCAGGUGGUUCACAACUUCCCCACCUUUUUGGCUUGUAGAACUUCUGUUAGUCCUGUAAGACUCAAAUUAAAUAUCCCCUCCUCCUGGGAGCUUUCCCUGACUUUCUUCCUGUCUCAUUGUCAUUUUUUAAGCUCCACAGUGGUUUAUAUGUACUUUCUUUGUGCUAUUUAUCAUGGUAAUUAUUUUUUAGUAACUAACGCUAUGUCCUCUUCUUUCAGGCGGUGGUGUGUGUUGCUCUUUAUACAUCCAGGAUCUAGCAGGGCGCCUGGCACAUAGGAUGUCAAUAAAUCCUGGUGAAGGGAUGGAAGAUGGAGUGGAUCCUAACUUCAUUCUCUCCUGAAUUCUUUCUAGACCAACUCCAUCAGAUGUUCCGGAGACUGAGGAAUCAAAGCCUUAGAAGACCAGGGUUAGGAAAUUAUACAGCAACAGGACUAACAGGAGAACAGGACACUCUCCAAACUCUCCCUCCAGUCUAAGAUGAUGCCAGCUCCAGGAAGUUGGGGAUUGUCUUCCUCACUCCUGUAUUCCCGGCUCCUAGAACAGUGACUGUCACCCAGCAGCUGUUGAGCUAAUGGCUAUUGAGUGGACAACCACUCGAGCAACAAUGCAGUCAGCUUCGUGGACUUUGUUUUACUGAGGGGCAUCUGGAGAGUUGGGACCAGAGGUGAAUUGCUCAAGAGAAGAGGGAAGCAGUGAGGACACAGCUGUCCUCCUCCAUCUAUCCCCAGGUCAGGCAGCCCCCUCCUCUAAGGCAGAGAAUAUUGUUUGAAAGGCACUUGUCUUCACUUAUUUUGUGCUGCUACAACAGGAUACCACAACCUGAGGAAUUUAUAAUGAACAGAAAUUUAUUGGCUUAUGGUUCUAGAGACUGGGAAGUCCAAGAUCAUGAGCAUCUGGUGAGAUCACUGACAUCUGGUCAGGGCCUUCUUGCUGCAUCAAACAUGAUGGAAGGGCAAAGAGGGGGUGAGAGAGACAAGAGGGUGCCAACCCCUCCCAUGAUAAUGGCAUAAAUCCAUUCAUGAGGGUGGUGCCCCCAUGACCCAAACACCUACCAUUAGGCCCCACCUCCCAACACUACUGCGUUGGGGGUCAAAUUUCCAGCACUUGAACUUUGGGGAACCCAUUCAAACCACAGCAGCACUGUGGCAGACACUGCCAGUUCCCUGCCCAACAGGCAUUCCCCCUUUUCCUUGGCAACAGAUGCUAAAUUUAUUCAGGGUUGCAUGGUGCCAGCUUAAAAAGCUCAGCUCUGGGCUCCCUUGCAUCUGGGAAUGGCCUAUGGCACAUGUAGCCAGUUAGAUACAAACAGAAGCUGUUGGGAUUGGGGUGGUUAGAGGAAAGGUUGUUAAAAAGGAUGGACUUGAUCUGACAUGUCUGCCUCCUUCUUUUUGUCUGAAACUGGAGAUUUGGCCACUUAUCUGUCUUGAAAACCUGAUGAAAGCUACACACAUAGGAGGGCAGAAUGGAAAGACACACAGAACCUGGGUUUCUGAUAGCCCUGUACUAUUGGUCUCCAAAUUUCUUGGUAUGUGAGAAAAGCAAUCUCCUAUUUGGUUAAGCCACUGUAGCCACUGACAGGCAUCUGAACACAGCCCUGAUGGCUGCUUGCACCACCUGACUAGCUGCUGAGAUGCUGAAGUUCUUACAGAGUCCCUGAGUCCCAGGUCAGCCAAAUUAGCACAAAUUACUGAAGACACCAUCUCACAAUGGAUGGAGGCACUCCAGGGAGGCCGAGAACAACUGAAUGAUGCCUGAACCAACACAUGCAAGCACACACACACACACACACACCUAUUAGCUCAGACAACUGUGAGCCGGGAGAAUUUUGGACACAUAAGAGAGAGGGUUCUUGAAGAUGAGCAGGGACUGUAACCAUGAACUUCCUUUCCCAAAAGAAAAACUGUCCAGUCAUUCUGAAAGGAGGUGGAGUUGCACGUUGGGAGGGGAAAUCUAGAAUUCUGACCUGACAUGCUUAGCGUUUGCACUUACGCAGCUGUGCUCCCUGUGAAGGUACAGGAAUCCUGCUCCUCACCAAGAUCCAGGGGCAGCAAGCAGCUCUGCUCUUUCACGCACAGCAUACAUCUCCACCUGUGUUACCACUGUCAGAAGGUGCACUUUCCGUCUGAAUUAACAAAAAGCAUGAACCAUACUGGCUGUUAGGGACUGAAUGUUUAUAUCCCUCAAAAAUCAAAUGUUUAAGCCCUAACCCCCAACGUGACUAUAUUUAAAAACAGAGCCUAUAAGGAGGAGGCGCAGAGGACACACCAUGUGAGGACACAGCAAGAAGGCAGCUGUUUGUAAGCCAGGAACAGAGCCCUCACCAGAAACUGACUUUCUAGCACGUGAUCACAGACUUCCAGCCUCCAGAACUGUGAGAAAAUAAAUGUCUGUUUUUAAUCAGUCUAUGGUAUUUUGUGAUGGCAGCCUGACUAAUGCAAAUCUGUUCUGACCAAAACAGACUUUAUCCCCCUAAUAAAAAAAGCCAAAGAUUAAAUGAUUUCUGCCUAAUAUCUUCAAAUUUCCAGAACCUUUCCAAAAUAGAAGCUGAAGUCAUUGGCAUUAUUGGAGCAGACUUAGAGGACAAGCCUGGAAAUGUUUCUGGUUUGUCCUUCUUGUGAAAUAGAACAUUAUGAGAAAGGCCAAGUGCUUCUCACAGUUGAUCCUUUGAGACCAGGGCCUCCAUAAAUAUUUGAUGAUGUUUGAUGAAUGAACAAAUGAACACAUGAACAAAAGGCCAUAACGGGGCUUUCUGUGACCCAGGGGAAUGAGGUAGAGCCAGCAUGGCUCACUGCUCCCGAAGAUGUAAAAUCACAGAUGCGCUCAAGGUUUCCAGGACAAGUGGUCUUUGUAUUAUGGAAUAAAAGGAUUCCUGGAAAGUUGUGCAUAGACCAAAAUUUGCAAAAUAACUUAUAUUUUAAAUUAAUCACUAUAUUCUAAGAUCCAUCUCAGUAAUCCAUUGAAAAACCAAGAAUUUUUUCUCAGAAGAUGAGUGUCCCCCAUUGUGGAUACAUAUAUAUAUAUAUAUAUAUAAAUAUUUUUUUUUUUUUUAGACGAAGUCUUGCUCUGUCACCCCGGCUGAAGGGCAGUGGCAUGAUCUUGGCUCACGGCAACCUCUGCCUCCUGGGUUCAAGCAAUUCUCAUGCCUCAGCUUCCUGAGUAGCUGGGAUUACAGGCGUGCACCAACAUGCCCAGCUAAUUUUUGUAUUUUUAGUAGAGACAGGGUUUCGCUACAUUGGUCAGGCUGGUCUUGAACUCCCGACCUCAAGUGAUCUGCCCGCCUUGGCCUCCCAAAGUGCUGGGAUUACAGGCAUGAGCCACCACUCCCGGACAUGGAUGAAUCUCUUACAGAAGCUUGGACCCAAUUUCAGCCUCAAUGAAAGAGGAAGGAAAAGUGAACUGAUAAUGAAGCUAAGACAAUAAAGCCAAGAAGUACCUCCAGGACCAUCCCAGCCCCUUGUUUUACAGGUGAAGAUACUGGGGCAUCGAGAGGAGCCUUGCCCAGGGCCAUCCAGCUGAUGGUGGCCUGCGUGGUCUUCUGGCGGCCAGGCCAGCCAUCUUCCCUUAUUGCAAAAAUUCAAUUCGAUAUACAUAUAUUUGCUGUUAUUGCUAUUUUUGAUGUUUUGCUGUUAGCAUUGUAUUUUCCAGAAUGCUUUACUGUUAUUUAGAGCAAUCUACUACCUGGAAGAAUUAUAUUCUUUUUAUUUUUUUUGAGACAGAGUCUCACUCUGUUGCCAGGCUGGAGUGCAGUGGCGCAAUCUUGGUUCACUGCAACCUCUGCUUCCCGGGUUCAAGCAAUUCUCCUUCCUCAGCCUCCCAAGUAGCUGGGAUUACAGGCACGUGCCACCAUGCCCAGCUAAUUUUUGUAUUUUUAGUAGAGACAGGGUUUCAAUAUGUUGGCCAGGAUGGUCUCGAUCUCUGGACCUGGUGAUCCCACCUUGGCCUCCCAAAGUGCUGGGUUUACAGGCGUGAGCCAUCGUGCCUGGCCUCCUUGCUUAAUCUUUGUCUCAUUUUUCUUUGUCAAAAUAUUUCCUGUGGGGCUGGGUGUGGUGGUUCACACCUGUAAAUCCCAGUUACUUGGGAGCCUGAGGCAGGAGGAUUGCUUGAGGCCAGGAGUUUGAGACCAGCCUGGGUGGUGCAGAGAAGCUCUGAUAAAUAAAUAAAUGUUUAUUUCUAUUUUAAAUAAAUAUAUAUAUAUUUCCUUUAGGGCCAGACAGACAACUCCAUGGGCAGAGGAAGGAAGAUGGAGAGGCAGAGAGCGAAUGUGAAGGCUUCAGUUCGGAGGCAGAGACAGGGAUGGCGUGCACUUGGCCUGAUGCUGGUCAUCUCCUGUGCACUGAGCUCAGGCUGGGACAGGCUCUGGGAGAGUGUGCUGCUGCUGGCUCAGAAGGCUGAUUCCCUUUCCGAAGUCAUCACUCAUUAGGAGGAGAAUCCAACAAAUAUUUAUUUAAUAAUGAGAGGCAUUGGACUCUGAUUUAGAGACCAUGGGUUCUGGUCUUGAUUCCAAGCAGUUAACAUCUCCCAAUAAGAAAAGGAAAUGGGUGAUGGCUGAGGCCUCCAGCAGCUCACACCUUCCAGGCUUUUAGGGUCUUUGUGUCUAUGAAACAUCCACAAACUGUGGCCUAUUAACCCCAGAUAUUUGCUGUUUUCAAGAUACAAAAGACUGUCAGAGUUUAAGAUGUGCAUAUGACUGGGGAGCAGCCCUUCACUCAAGCUGCUGUUUAUCUCAACAGAGCAGUCAGGUAAAAGUAACACAGCUACCAGGGGAUUGGAGAGACACCUCUGUGAGGGGGUUGGGGCUCUCUCAGCCUCACUGAAUGAAAUCAUGAAAGAUAUUGAUAAGGUCCCUAGUAACACUUUAAGACAAAGAAAUUUUCCUUUGGAAUUGAAGACCUGACCUUCUGGUCUCUUUAUUCUUUUUAUUUUUUAAUAGAGACAGGGCCUUGCUCUGUUGCCAGCUGGGGUGCAGUGGCAUGAUCAUGGGUCACUGCAGCCUCAACCUCCUGGGCUCAUGUGAUCGUCCUGCCUCAGCCUCCCGAGUAGCUGCGACUACAGGAGCAUGCCACCAUGCCUGGCUAAUUUUUAAAUUUUUUGUAGAGACGUAUGUCUCUCACUAUGUUGUCCAGGCUGGUCUUGAGCUCCUGGGCUCAAGUAAUCCUCCUGCUUUGGCCUCCCAAAAUGUUGGAUUACAGACGUGAACCAUUGCAGCAUCCUUGGUCUCUUUAUUCUUUUUUU
This 7034-nucleotide long non-coding RNA is filed under the name Homo sapiens (human). RNAcentral's name for it is "HSALNT0136153". The record is from RNAcentral. Lineage: Eukaryota; Metazoa; Chordata; Mammalia; Primates; Hominidae.